This 787-nucleotide ribosomal RNA is filed under the name Brevibacterium sp. RNAcentral's name for it is "bacterial SSU rRNA". It matches the Rfam family "Bacterial small subunit ribosomal RNA", at positions 65 to 861 of the family's 1533-position model. The record is from RNAcentral. Lineage: Bacteria; Bacillati; Actinomycetota; Actinomycetes; Micrococcales; Brevibacteriaceae.
CGCUGAAGCCUGGUGCUUGCACCGGGUGGAUGAGUGGCGAACGGGUGAGUAACACGUGAGUAACCUGCCCCUGACUUCGGGAUAAGCCCGGGAAACUGGGUCUAAUACCGGAUACGACUGCCGGACGCAUGUCUGGUGGUGGAAAGUUUUUUCGGUUGGGGAUGGGCUCGCGGCCUAUCAGUUUGUUGGUGAGGUAAUGGCUCACCAAGACGACGACGGGUAGCCGGCCUGAGAGGGCGACCGGCCACACUGGGACUGAGACACGGCCCAGACUCCUACGGGAGGCAGCAGUGGGGAAUAUUGCACAAUGGGGGAAACCCUGAUGCAGCGACGCAGCGUGCGGGAUGACGGCCUUCGGGUUGUAAACCGCUUUCAGCAGGGAAGAAGCGCAAGUGACGGUACCUGCAGAAGAAGUACCGGCUAACUACGUGCCAGCAGCCGCGGUAAUACGUAGGGUACGAGCGUUGUCCGGAAUUAUUGGGCGUAAAGAGCUCGUAGGUGGUUGGUCACGUCUGCUGUGGAAACGCAACGCUUAACGUUGCGCGUGCAGUGGGUACGGGCUGACUAGAGUGCAGUAGGGGAGUCUGGAAUUCCUGGUGUAGCGGUGAAAUGCGCAGAUAUCAGGAGGAACACCGGUGGCGAAGGCGGGACUCUGGGCUGUAACUGACACUGAGGAGCGAAAGCAUGGGGAGCGAACAGGAUUAGAUACCCUGGUAGUCCAUGCCGUAAACGUUGGGCACUAGGUGUGGGGGGCAUUCCACGUUCUCCGCGCCGUAGCUAACGCAUU